Molecule: ribosomal RNA, 252 nt
Filed under: uncultured bacterium
Lineage: Bacteria
Description: partial 16S ribosomal RNA
Rfam family: Bacterial small subunit ribosomal RNA
Source: RNAcentral
UACGAAGGGGGCUAGCGUUGCUCGGAAUCACUGGGCGUAAAGGGCGCGUAGGCGGGCUCUUAAGUCAGAGGUGAAGCCCAAGGCUCGACCUUGGAAUUGCCUUUGAUACUGAGGGCCUUGAGACCGGAAGAGGUCGGCGGAACUGCGAGUGUAGAGGUGAAAUUCGUAGAUAUUCGCAAGAACACCAGUGGCGAAGGCGGCCGACUGGUCCGGUUCUGACGCUGAGGCGCGAAAGCGUGGGGAGCAAACAGG